Molecule: long non-coding RNA, 1720 nt
Organism: Cuculus canorus (common cuckoo)
Lineage: Eukaryota; Metazoa; Chordata; Aves; Cuculiformes; Cuculidae
Exons: 3
Source: RefSeq, a predicted model, not a curated record
AUUUCUUUUAAAAAUUGCAUAAGCAGACUGAAAAAUGUGUUUUCCUUCUCACUGAAAUUUUGAAAGUGUUUUUCAGAUGAAAUAAUAAUUUAUUGAGAAAAUAUUAAUUACUUGAUUAUUUUAAUAUUUUAGCACUAAUUUACAGCCUGAAAUGAAAAUCUCAAGGAGGGGAAAGGGAUCUGAGCCCUACUGAGAUAAGACUAUGCUUGAUUUUGAGAAUGUUGUUUGAGGCAUCCAUCGAUUUCAGUCUUCAGUCAGCUAAAGAAGUCAACAGUAUGCUGUUUCCUUGAAUAAAUCCACUGGAUGGACUGAUCUCCUGGAACACUGAGUCAGAAGGAACUGGUUUUCUUGUCUCCAGAAUGAAAGUGUAGAAGCUUGAAACGGUCACCACCUCAGUUGAACUGUCAUUUCAGCUCUGUGUUGCAAGGCAAAGCUCCAAACAUGCAGUGGUUGCCAUGCCCAGUGGAAGAGGAAUUGAGUGGAAAUUGGGGUGUCAAUGCUUUCAGGCUCUUCCUGCAUUUGCUUCCCCACAUGCCGUGGAAGUACUAAAAUUAGGACAUUCUGGGUCAUGAGACACCUGAUUUUUGAUCUUCUUAAAGAUGGCUGAAGACUUGAGCGGCUGCUUUGGAACAGGUGAAACAAUAUGAGUUCAGGUGCCCAGCAUCUGAAAAAAAAGCUCUGUGAAGCUGGUCUGGUUCUCACUUUCCCAGGAAAUACUCAGCUAUCCUAAGAUGACCCUGUCCAACAGACACAAAAUGUUGCCAUCAAGCAUCAAGUCAACAUGUAUCAGACAACCCACAGCAGUAUCAGACAAACCACAACUAGUGGAGUGCUACUGGAUGGCGGCAAAUGUUAUAUAUUUCAAGUUAACGUAACAUUUUCUCAUUAGCCAAAUAUUUUUUUCUGAUGGAAAAAAUACUUGAUUUGCCAGGAAAUCUGCUUCUAGAUCCACCCAGAAGCUUAAGUAUUUUGUACUAUUUAACAUGUGAAAAAUGUCAGCUGCUUCAGAAAGACUAUAAUGAAUGAGAGGAUAAGGAAAAGUGUUCAACAAGUGAAAGAAAAGAUAACAGCUGGCUUUUAAAAAGUAAAUAAAAUGUAGGUCUAUUCUUUACAAAACAAAUUGGAAAAUUCCUUUUAAAUGCCACACUCUAGUGAAAGCAUAAUUUCAUCCUCACUUUAAGUAGGCUGAUCAAGAUAAUGGGUAAACAAUUGCUUAGAACUGGAUGGUAGAUUGGAGAAAAGCAGGUAGAAAUUUUAAAUAAAUUUACUCUUCAAAGAGUAGGAUUGUUAUGGUUUUAGGUCUCUAGGACAAAAAAUCCCCAACCAACCCUACCCCAGACAAUGCAGUCCUUGAUCUCCCAAUUCAGUUUUCAAAGGGAAAGUUUCAUUGAAGUUGAUGAUUCUGGAUACAGAUGCAUGUUCCUAUAUCUGCCAGGCCAUGGACCUGUAUGUCAUGAUGUGGGAUUGCACAUCCUGUCAAAUUAAUACAGGUCUUCCAACUCAAUGCUCAUUGCAGCUCAGCCUCUAUGCAGAAAAAUCAUCAACUGCAAAGGGACUUUGCCUGUGUGAAUAUAAUUUUGUGAUUAAGUUUUAAAAUAUUUUUCCCCUCCUGUAAAACAUGAUUACUUAAAACGCCUCAAAAAAAGGAGGGGGGGAGUGGAACUAAAAAAAAAUCACUGUGUGGUCUUGCAAAAUAAUCAGAAAGAGCAGCUGAAACAAG